RNAcentral lists this unclassified non-coding RNA (457 nucleotides) under Hevea brasiliensis (rubber tree). The record is from RNAcentral. Lineage: Eukaryota; Viridiplantae; Streptophyta; Magnoliopsida; Malpighiales; Euphorbiaceae.
GGAGGACCGGCCGUCGGCGAAUGGGGAGGAUGAUGUGGAGGGUUUGGCGAACGAGGUGGAGAGUUAUAUGAAAGAUGUGAUUCGUUUAUCGAACCGAUUGAAUGGGAAACCGGAGAAGGAGGCAACGGAUUUGCGGAGGAAUUUGUUUCCAACGCCAUUUUCGUUCUUCGUGGGAAGUACGUUUGAAGGGGCACCAAGGGAACAACAAGCAUUGCUUGAAUUAGAAGAUACCGCGAUGAGAUUGAAGAGGGAGAAGGAGACUUUGAGGAAUACUUUGAACUAUCUAAGUGCUGCUUCUGCUGUGAAGGAUGUGUUUCCCUCUACCUGAUUAAAAAUGUGUAAGAAUUUUUGGUGCUGAAUUACCUAAAGGGGUUGUUGACUUGUUAGAUUACUAUGGUUUCGUAAUGUAUACACAGUGAUGAAUUUUCUUAUGAAUAUGUAAAUUUUGAUGCCUAAU